GACGAACGCUGGCGGCGUGCUUAACACAUGCAAGUCGAACGGAAAGGCCUCUUUCGGGGGGUACUCGAGUGGCGAACGGGUGAGUAACACGUGAGUAACCUGCCCUUGACUUUGGGAUAACUUCAGGAAACUGGGGCUAAUACCGGAUAGGAGCUCCUGCUGCAUGGUGGGGGUUGGAAAGUUUCGGCGGUUGGGGAUGGACUCGCGGCUUAUCAGCUUGUUGGUGGGGUAGUGGCUUACCAAGGCUUUGACGGGUAGCCGGCCUGAGAGGGUGACCGGCCACAUUGGGACUGAGGUACGGCCCAGACUCCUACGGGAGGCAGCAGUGGGGAAUAUUGCACCAUGGGUGGGAGCCUGAUGCAGCAACGCCGUGUGCGGGAUGACGGCCUUCGGGUUGUAAACCGCUUUCGCUCAUGACGAAGCUUUGUGUGACGGUAGUGGGUAAAGAAGCACCGGCUAACUACGUG
Molecule: ribosomal RNA, 467 nt
Filed under: uncultured bacterium
Lineage: Bacteria
Description: partial 16S ribosomal RNA
Rfam family: Bacterial small subunit ribosomal RNA
Source: RNAcentral